GGCAUCGUAGCUCAGUUAGCUAGAGCGGUGGCUGUACUGACGCCUCCCUCUUGCUGACGUGGGUUCGAAUCCCACCGAGGCUG
This 83-nucleotide transfer RNA is filed under the name Schistocephalus solidus. It matches the Rfam family "tRNA". Rfam says of the family: Transfer RNA (tRNA) molecules are approximately 80 nucleotides in length. Lineage: Eukaryota; Metazoa; Platyhelminthes; Cestoda; Diphyllobothriidea; Diphyllobothriidae. The record is from Rfam by way of RNAcentral.